This 74-nucleotide transfer RNA is filed under the name Halosaccharopolyspora lacisalsi. RNAcentral's name for it is "Saccharopolyspora lacisalsi tRNA". It matches the Rfam family "tRNA". From Rfam's summary of the family: Transfer RNA (tRNA) molecules are approximately 80 nucleotides in length. Their secondary structure includes four short double-helical elements and three loops (D, anti-codon, and T loops). Lineage: Bacteria; Bacillati; Actinomycetota; Actinomycetes; Pseudonocardiales; Pseudonocardiaceae. The record is from Rfam by way of RNAcentral.
GCCCCCGUAGCCCAACAGGCAGAGGCAGACGACUUAAAAUCGUCACAGUGUGGGUUCGAACCCCACCGGGGGCA